GGGAAUUUAUCAAGAUGAUCCCGGUUUGCCCUUUUGCUGGAGCUUCCAGACCCGAUGAUGCAACUCUUAAUAAACCUCAUGACGAAAAUAAACAACAGGCUCAGCCUAAAAAAGAGUCUGGAGAAGCUGCUACGGUGUCACCUAAGUGCCCCUUUGGAUAUGAUUCAACUCUUAAGAAACCUUGUGACGACCAAAAUAAACAACAGGAUGGCCAGGAGAGCAAGCCUAAACAAGACUCUGGAGAAUCUGCAACUGUGUCACCUAAGUGCCCCUUUGGAUAUGAUGGCCAGGAGAGCAAGCCUAAACAAGACUCUGGAGAAUCUGCGACAAUGUCACCUAAGUGCCCCUUUGGUUAUGAUUCUCAAGCAUUUAAACUGGGUCCUUUUAGCUGCAUGAUAUGUCAGGCACUUCUUUAUGAUAGCAGCAGAUGUGUGCCCUGUUCACAUGUAUUCUGCA
Molecule: long non-coding RNA, 456 nt
Filed under: Solanum tuberosum (potato)
Lineage: Eukaryota; Viridiplantae; Streptophyta; Magnoliopsida; Solanales; Solanaceae
Description: long non-coding RNA (STUB_LNC010306)
Source: RNAcentral